This is a non-coding RNA of Acanthosepion pharaonis, 114 nucleotides long. The record is from the annotation of a GenBank genome assembly. Lineage: Eukaryota; Metazoa; Mollusca; Cephalopoda; Sepiida; Sepiidae.
UUACGACCACAUCACAUUGAAAUACCAGUUCUCGUACGGUCACGGAAGUUAAGCAACGUCGAGCCUGGUCACUACCUAGAUGUGUGAUCGCUAGGGAAUAUCAAGUGCUGUAAG